Molecule: small nucleolar RNA, 209 nt
Organism: Syngnathus acus (greater pipefish)
Lineage: Eukaryota; Metazoa; Chordata; Actinopteri; Syngnathiformes; Syngnathidae
Product: small nucleolar RNA U3
Exons: 1
Source: RefSeq, a predicted model, not a curated record
AAGGCCAUACUUAUAGAGAUUAUUUCUGUAGUCCUUAACUGAACAAAUGCGUUUCUAAAAUGUAUGGCUUUACCAACCACCAUAAGGAGAGGUGACAUUCCUUCCUGAGUGUGAAUCUGGCUAGAAAUUUUGAUCUAAUAAAUUUGUAGCCAUUGACGAACGUUUGAUAUUUCUUCAUGAGACUCUGAUGGACAGAAUAUGUCCUAAGU